RNAcentral lists this long non-coding RNA (1337 nucleotides) under Phocoena sinus (vaquita). Its description in RNAcentral is "lncRNA (ENSPSNG00000015225.1)". The record is from RNAcentral. Lineage: Eukaryota; Metazoa; Chordata; Mammalia; Artiodactyla; Phocoenidae.
AUACCAGGCUAAUAGUAUUUGGACUUUAGUCAGUAAACAUGAGGGAGCCAGUCCGGGUUUUUGAACAGAGAGACUACUUGAUUAAAUGUUAUUUUUAGUUAUGAGUCCAUAAACCCCAUAGAUGUGAACAAGAAUGGAGAAGAAAGGACAAGUACAAGAGAUACUCUGUGGAAAGACUGGACAUGACUUAUUGAUGGCUAAGGAGAGAAGAGGAAAAGUUAAAGAGAAUUUUGUGUCCUGUGGCCAGUGAGUUGUCCGGGUCGUAGCACAAUUUCACUAGAUUUUUUUUCACCAACUUUCAGACUGAGGUCAGAAAGCUAUAUACAGAGAACAAGGUGGGCUAGACUAGAGAAAGCCAGCGAAAUGUGUUUUGAAACACUGCAUAUAUUAGGCAUUACUGUUUAUAUAGUUUAAUGAUUUCAUGAAGUGAUUUGGCCUCUACAGAUUAAUUCACAUCAAAGAGUGCGUUUCUGCUAUACUGAUUAUUUUUGCAGUUAAGCUUGAGUCCAAUUUCCCCUGGAAGCUCUUGUUUUGAUAGUCUUUGACCAUAUUGUAAAAUGUGAAUAAAGUCACCAUUAGUAGUGUUAGUUUAUCACUACAGUGAUAACCCGUAGAGCAAGUAAGCAAUUCCAUGUAGGUUUUCCAAGUAACCAGUGCACCAAUGGCAUCCUGUCUCUAGAUGGGAUUGUUAUUGUUACCAUAUGAUUUGACUGCUUAUAAUAAAUACUGUCAACAUCUUUUUAGAAAUGAAACGAAGAGCAGCAGUGGUAGCAACAGCCUUGGAACCUUGACCAACGUAUCAUAGAACUAGAGAUGACUCACUGGUUAAUUAACAAACUAAAUAGGUCAGCGUAAUAAAAACCUAAGCCUUUGAUUAUAAAUACUGGUUUAUCUGAAAUGUAGAACCUGAGCAAUGUAUUGGAAUAAUAGGAAAUUUCCAAACUCUUGAAAAUAUUAAUAAUCAGACACAUAUCUCAGGCUUGUGAUCCACGAAAUGGUGGGCUACCUUCAGUCUUGUUCUAACAGUAUACUACUUCAGCUAUCAAAACACAGGGGGGGGGGAAAAAAGCCACAGGGGAAAGGAGUAGAAUAAAAGGGGUGGGGAGUGUGGGUGUGUGUAGCAAGGCUGUUCCCCUGUCCUGGGAUUUGGCCUGUAAGAGUGCUUUGUUCAUCUGGUUCCGGUUACAAUAAUGCUUUUUUUCUAGUCCCAAACCACGUAAUGGUUACUUGAAGAAAAGUGUAUAUGUAUGUUUAUCCAACUCCUGAUUGAACUUGUGACUAAAUCCUUCAAAGAUUUUGCCUCUGUGUAUGGCAUCUUAAAACUUUUUCCAACAUGC